Molecule: long non-coding RNA, 1099 nt
Organism: Rosa chinensis
Lineage: Eukaryota; Viridiplantae; Streptophyta; Magnoliopsida; Rosales; Rosaceae
Exons: 3
Source: RefSeq, a predicted model, not a curated record
AAUAAACCACAAUUCUUUCUCACUCAACUUUUUGGUUGUAGGUAGGACAUGAGACACUUAGCUUUCUAUAUGAUGCAGAAGUUUGUUGACUUACGAUCAAUGGGUACCAAGCUGCAGAUAAUAUAUGCAUUUGUUGUUGGUCACAUCAAGGGUUUUGUUUUCACUAAAGCUGAUAAGCUAUGUGCUAUUGAGGAGGUGAUAUAUGCUUCCAAUGUUUACAAGUUGCUGGUUGUUAAAUUGGUACUAGUAAAGUAGCCCUUUUGGGUCAAUCGUAUUCUUAAUAACUAUUAUAUAACAUUGUUUUUCGUAGGCAUGUAAAGAACUUUGUAAUAUAGUUUUAUCCCAAGCAAACACUUGUUCCCAAAAUUGAAGCUCCUCAUUUGCUGGCUUCUCGGUCUAGAAACAGUGAAAUUGCUGUGGGUACAUGUGACUUGGCACAGGUGAUUCCUUUGCCUCUUCCCCCUAGUGACACAUCAGCUGAAAGAACAGUAUAGAUAGAUGGAACUAGUGAACAAAUUGAAGUUGCUAAACAGCUGAUGAAUGGAAGUUAUUAGUGAGGUACGUUUAAUUAGCAUUUAUCUGCAAGUUCAACUUCUAUACGCUUCAGAUUGGCAUUAAACCUCCUGCUCAGAUUGGCAUUAAAUUUUAGAAAGAUAAGAUACACCUUCUAGUUAUACAGAACAAACAAUUAGCCAUAUUUGAAGCAUCAAAGUUGGAGUGCCUUAAGCAGAAAGUGGAUUCUAAGCUUUUAUUGAAAAUCCUUGAAUGUUCAGUUUCAUGUUGAGAAACAAAAGGUUUCUUGGAAAGAGCAACAACACUAAGGAAGAAGGCAGUGUAAAUGAAAAGAGGUGGAAAAAAAGUGUCGAAACCAGCUGUUGAAGAGACUAAUGCACCACCUAAAUCUUCCUUCACCAAAUAUGAUCAAUAGUAUGAAAUAUCAGUGUUUUUUGAGUUCCAUUUGUUGAUCAUGCCAACUGCUAUGGGUUAUUGAACUGAUGUUUACUAAGUUUAGCUUCAUUAUGGAUGUAUGUAUAGCUGUAGUAACAGAUUAAUCAAAUAUUGGUAUUAUUGUGAAUGGAUUCCAUAUUUGAUGAAUGCA